This 607-nucleotide ribosomal RNA is filed under the name uncultured soil bacterium. RNAcentral describes it as "bacterial SSU rRNA". It matches the Rfam family "Bacterial small subunit ribosomal RNA", at positions 224 to 823 of the family's 1533-position model. The record is from RNAcentral.
GAUGAGCCCGCGGCCGAUUAGCUUGUUGGUGGGGUAAUGGCCUACCAAGGCGACGAUCGGUAGCUGGUCUGAGAGGACGAUCANCCACACUGGGACUGAGACACGGCCCAGACUCCUACGGGAGGCAGCAGUGGGGAAUCUUGCGCAAUGGGCGAAAGCCUGACGCAGCGACGCCGUGUGCGGGAAGAAAGCCCUUCGGGUUGUAAACCGCUUUCAGGAGGGACGAAGCCACUCGGGUGAAUAGCCUAGAGGGUGACGGUACCUCCAGAAGAAGCCCCGGCUAACUACGUGCCAGCAGCCGCGGUAAUACGUAGGGGGCUAGCGUUGUCCGGAUUUAUUGGGCGUAAAGAGCGUGUAGGCGGCCGAGUAAGUCCGGUGUGAAAACUCGAGGCUUAACCUCGAGAUGUCAUCGGAAACUAUUCGGCUAGAGUCCGGAAGAGGAGAGUGGAAUUCCUGGUGUAGCGGUGAAAUGCGCAGAUAUCAGGAAGAACACCUAUGGCGAAAGCAGCUCUCUGGGACGGUACUGACGCUGAGACGCGAAAGCGUGGGGAGCGAACAGGAUUAGAUACCCUGGUAGUCCACGCCGUAAACGAUGGACACUAGGUGU